Molecule: long non-coding RNA, 490 nt
Organism: Nelumbo nucifera (sacred lotus)
Lineage: Eukaryota; Viridiplantae; Streptophyta; Magnoliopsida; Proteales; Nelumbonaceae
Source: RefSeq, a predicted model, not a curated record
ACGAAUUAACAAAUCAAAAACCCUUGGUCUUCCUCUUCAUUCUUGGCGCGAUAGAGAAACUUUCACUCUCCCAGUCUCAGAGAUUCGGACAUCUCAAGCUCUCUCACGGACGACGCCCGACAUCUGACGAGACGACGACCGACGCCCAACGAAGCGACGACCAACGCCCAACGAAGCGACGACCAACGAUCUUAGACUCUCAGCAAUCAACAAUCAGCUCUCUGCAACUAUUCGUAUUUGGUGAUUGGCUAUCAACUCCUUUGUAGCCAGCAACCACAGCACAAUGACCAUCAUCCAACAACAUUCAAAGGUUGAACAUGGUAAAGGAGGAUACUUCACACGUGUAGAUGGAGACAUUUGAUUAAACUUUACAUGACCCGUUUUUUUUUUUUUUGGAUUGAGUUUCAUGUAUUCAAGAACCUUUAAUUUGUAAUAAACACAUAAAACGUUAUUUUUUAGCACAGUCAAUGAAAACCGUUGCUGAAGGUUA